ACGGAGGAUGCAAGCGUUAUCCGGAAUGAUUGGGCGUAAAGCGUCCGCAGGUGGCUAUGUAAGUCUGCUGUUAAAGAGUCUAGCUCAACUAGAUACAAGCAGUGGAAACUACAAGGCUAGAGUACGUUCGGGGCAGAGGGAAUUCCUGGUGUAGCGGUGAAAUGCGUAGAGAUCGGGAAGAACACCGGUGGCGAAGGCGCUCUGCUAGGCCGUAACUGACACUGAGGGACGAAAGCUAGGGGAGCGAAUGGGA
This 253-nucleotide ribosomal RNA is filed under the name uncultured prokaryote. RNAcentral describes it as "partial 16S ribosomal RNA". It matches the Rfam family "Bacterial small subunit ribosomal RNA", at positions 525 to 777 of the family's 1533-position model. The record is from RNAcentral.